UACGUAGGGUGCGAGCGUUAAUCGGAAUUACUGGGCGUAAAGCGUGCGCAGGCGGUUUUGUAAGUCGAGAUGAUCGGAAUCCCCGGCUCAACCUGGGAACUGCGUUUGAAACUACAAGGCUAGAGUGUAGCAGAGGGGGGUAGAAUUCCACGUGUAGCAGUGAAAUGCGUAGAGAUGUGGAGGAAUACCAAUGGCGAAGGCAGCCCCCUGGGUUAACACUGACGCUCAUGCCACGAAAGACGUGGGGAGCA
Molecule: ribosomal RNA, 251 nt
Filed under: uncultured bacterium
Lineage: Bacteria
Description: partial 16S ribosomal RNA
Rfam family: Bacterial small subunit ribosomal RNA
Source: RNAcentral